This 67-nucleotide transfer RNA is filed under the name Alectis ciliaris (African pompano). Its description in RNAcentral is "tRNA-Ser". Lineage: Eukaryota; Metazoa; Chordata; Actinopteri; Carangiformes; Carangidae. The record is from RNAcentral.
GAGAGAGGCUCGCAGCAACAAAGACUGCUAAUCUUUGUCAUCUUGGUUGAACUCCAGGGCUCACUCG